CCUACGGGAGGCAGCAGUGGGGAAUAUUGCACAAUGGGCGAAAGCCUGAUGCAGCAACGCCGCGUGAAGGAAGACGGUUUUCGGAUUGUAAACUUCUAUCAAUAGGGAAGAAAGAAAUGACGGUACCUAAAUAAGAAGCCCCGGCUAACUACGUGCCAGCAGCCGCGGUAAUACGUAGGGGGCAAGCGUUAUCCGGAAUUACUGGGUGUAAGGGAGAGUAGGCGGCAAGGUAAGCGAUAUGUGAAAGCCUUAGGCUUAACCAAAGGAUUGCAUAACGAACUAUCUAGCUAGAGUACAGGAGAGGAAAGCGGAAUUCCUGGUGUAGCGGUGAAAUGCGUAGAUAUCAGGAGGAACACCGGUGGCGAAGGCGGCCUGCUGGACUGCAACUGACGUUGAGGCCCGAAAGCGUGGGGAGCAAACAGGAUUAGAUACCCUAGUAGUC
Molecule: ribosomal RNA, 442 nt
Filed under: uncultured bacterium
Lineage: Bacteria
Description: partial 16S ribosomal RNA
Rfam family: Bacterial small subunit ribosomal RNA
Source: RNAcentral